GGCUGCAAUUCAUGGGGUCACAAAAAGUCAUACACGACUGAUCGACUGAACUGAACUGAACUGAACAAGUCCAAAACUGAACUCAUUACCUCCCCUCCACAGACCCGCUGCUUCUCUAUUCAGAGCACCUACCUGCCAAGUCACUCUCAUCACAAACCCAGGAACUUCCUUCCUCUUCUCCCCCAGUCUCCAAUAGGCCACAAAACGCUGUCACUUCUGAAUCAGAACUGUCUGAGCAUCUUGCCUCUCUCCUCACUCUGCUGAUUUCCUCUGACUUGCAUCCUCUGUCAAAGCCGUGCCCCUCUGCCCUUAGUCUUUCCACCCUGUGGUGAUUCUCUGAAAUAUAGAUGUGAUCAUUUUGCUCCUAACUUAAAAAGUUUGGCUACCCUUGGCUGAUAGAAGAUAGAAUAGAAACCCCCAUUCACAGACCUUAAGGCUUUUCCAUAGCCUGGUCCCAGCCCCUUUUCAGCUCCAUUUUCAGUCAUACUGCAUUGCCCACUGUUCUCUGAAUCAACAAUGUCUUUUUAUGGCUCCAUGGCUUUGAAUGCCUCCAUGCAUCCAACUGAAUAUAGCGGUUAAAGGCGUGGGUGCUAGAGCCAGGCUGCCUCAGUUUGAAUUCUAGCCCCGCUGUGACUAGUGAAAGGAGCCCAGGCAUGGACAUAAAUUCUCUGUGGCCCAGGAGUCCUGUCUGUAAUGAGCUUGAUAAUAAAGGUACCUAUCAAUAAAGUUUUAGAGUUUGGAACAUUGUUAGUACUCAAUAAACACUGGCCAGCAUUCUUUCUACAAAUGUGUGGACAUUGCUUUGGCUUGUCUAUGCCCCUUGAAGGCAGGAACUUUGCCACAUUUCAUUUCUGGAUUCCUGAUGUGUGACUGAGAGUAGGUGCUCAGUUAAUACUGAGUUAGUAAAACAGCCAGCAGUGGUAUCUUAGUAGUGGUGUAACUGGGGGAGGGGAAGGAACUCCUCUGAUCCUAUAUUAGGUCUUGGGAGGAAGCACAAGAAGGUAGUUAGGGCUAUUUCUAAACAGGCUGGUCCCUAGUGGCUGCUCGGCUUUCAUCAGAUAGGCAACCUGCUUAUCUGCAACAAUGGUUCUCAACUCUGACUACAUAUUUGAAUCACUUGGGAAGCUUUUUAAAAAGGUGAUGCCUGUCACCUUUGCCUACUUAGAGGGUUCUGAUUUAAUUGGUCUGGGUGGAGGUUAGUCAUCGUAGUUUUAAAAAGCUCCCCAGGUGAUUCUAAAGUGCAGCCAAAUUGUGAAGCACAGGCCUGAGAGCAGCUUUGGGCAGCUCUGCUCUUUUAGAUCAUUUGGCUGGCAGUGGCUGGGGAGUCAGACACAGACCUGGCUCCUGGCUUCAGAUCCCUGUGACUACCAAAGAUGCUCACAGCAGGGUUAGCUGUGCUUGGAGGCAGACUUUUCCUGGGCUUCCUUGGUGGUUCAGUGGUUAAAAAUCCACCUGCCAAUGCAGGAGACACGGAUUCGAUCCCUGAUCUGGGAAGGUCCACAUGAUGCAGAGUAAAUAAGUCCGAGCACCACAACUGCUGAGCUUUUCCCUAGAGCCUGGGAGCCACAGCUACCGAGCCCAUGUGCCUUUCCUGAAGCCUGCGAGCCCUCGAGUCCCUACUCCACAACAAGAGCAGCCACCGCAAUGCGAAGCCUGCACACGGCAGCUACAGGAAAGGCCUGCAGAGCAAUGAAGCCCCGACACAGCCAGAAAUAAAUGAAUAAAAUUAUUAAAAAAAA
Long non-coding RNA from Bubalus bubalis (water buffalo), 1739 nucleotides. RefSeq lists it as uncharacterized. The record is from RefSeq and is a predicted model, not a curated record. Lineage: Eukaryota; Metazoa; Chordata; Mammalia; Artiodactyla; Bovidae. The transcript has 2 exons.